AUCCGCGAAAAUAGCACGUCCAAUGCACCAGUUCCCAAUGGAUCAUUGAAGUUGAGCAACGUUGCGCUUGGUUUGUAACCAGAUGGGUGACCGUCUGGGACAAUCACGUGCUUGCUGGCU
RNAcentral lists this ribosomal RNA (120 nucleotides) under Diaphorina citri (Asian citrus psyllid). Lineage: Eukaryota; Metazoa; Arthropoda; Insecta; Hemiptera; Psyllidae. The record is from RNAcentral.